UCCAACUCCUGGCCCUUCACAGGACACCCUAAGAAUCAUACCAUGUACCUGAGACUGUCAUCCAAACACUUCCAGAACUGAGUGAAUUGAGGUGGAGAACCAAAGCCAGAAUGAUCUUACAGGGAUCUGCUUCUCUUCCUCCACAUGCUUCCUCUAGUAACUGGGACACUUUGGGCAUAAAAAGCACCAGGAUGGAAAUACUUCAUAGGAUGUCCAUAUUUCAACAGUGUCCCCGGAUGGGCAUCAGGAAGGACUCCCAGCUGUCUAGGAUCCUCAGCACCAAGAAGACCAGAACAAGAGGACCUAUGGGACAUCAGUGGGUUCCAUGAAGUGGUGAUAUAUUUUCUGUUUAAUCUCUCUCUGUCACUCUCUUUCUUCCCC
Long non-coding RNA from Lepidothrix coronata (blue-crowned manakin), 381 nucleotides. RefSeq lists it as uncharacterized. The record is from RefSeq and is a predicted model, not a curated record. The transcript has 4 exons. Lineage: Eukaryota; Metazoa; Chordata; Aves; Passeriformes; Pipridae.